AGUAAAAAGUAGAAUAAUAGAUUUGAAAUAUUUAUUAUAUAGAUUUAAAGAGAUAAUCAUGGAGUAUAAAAAUUAAAUUUAAUAAAUUUAAUAUAACUAUUAAUAGAAUUAGGUUACUAAUAAAUUAAUAACAAUUAAUUUUAAAACCUAAAGGUAAACCUUUAUAUUAAUAAUGUUUUUUUUUAUUUUUAUAAUUAAGAAUAAUUAUUAAUAAUAAUAAACUAAGUGAACUGAAACAUCUAAGUAACUUAAGGAUAAUAAAUCAACAGAGAUAUUAUGAGUAUUGGUGAGAGAAAAUAAUAAAGGUCUAAUAAGUAUUAUGUGAAAAAAAUGUAAGAAAAUAGGAUAACAAAUUCUAAGACUAAAUACUAUUAAUAAGUAUAGUAAGUACCGUAAGGGAAAGUAUGAAAAUGAUUAUUUUAUAAGCAAUCAUGAAUAUAUUAUAUUAUAUUAAUGAUGUACCUUUUGUAUAAUGGGUCAGCAAGUAAUUAAUAUUAGUAAAACAAUAAGUUAUAAAUAAAUAGAAUAAUAUAUAUAUAUAAAAAAAUAUAUUAAAAUAUUUAAUUAAUAUUAAUUGACCCGAAAGCAAACGAUCUAACUAUGAUAAGAUGGAUAAACGAUCGAACAGGUUGAUGUUGCAAUAUCAUCUGAUUAAUUGUGGUUAGUAGUGAAAGACAAAUCUGGUUUGCAGAUAGCUGGUUUUCUAUGAAAUAUAUGUAAGUAUAGCCUUUAUAAAUAAUAAUUAUUAUAUAAUAUUAUAUAAAUAUUAUAUAAAGAAUGGUACAGCAAUUAAUAUAUAUUAGGGAACUAUUAAAGUUUUAUUAAUAAUAUUAAAUCUCGAAAUAUUUAAUUAUAUAUAAUAAAGAGUCAGAUUAUGUGCGAUAAGGUAAAUAAUCUAAAGGGAAACAGCCCAGAUUAAGAUAUAAAGUUCCUAAUAAAUAAUAAGUGAAAUAAAUAUUAAAAUAUUAUAAUAUAAUCAGUUAAUGGGUUUGACAAUAACCAUUUUUUAAUGAACAUGUAACAAUGCACUGAUUUAUAAUAAAUAAAAAAAAUAAUAUUUAAAAUCAAAUAUAUAUAUAUUUGUUAAUAGAUAAUAUACGGAUCUUAAUAAUAAGAAUUAUUUAAUUCCUAAUAUGGAAUAUUAUAUUUUUAUAAUAAUAAUAAAAAUAUAAAUACUGAAUAUCUAAAUAUUAUUAUUACUUUUUUUUUAAUAAUAAUAAUAUGGUAAUAGAACAUUUAAUGAUAAUAUAUAUUAGUUAUUAAUUAAUAUAUGUAUUAAUUAAAUAGAGAAUGCUGACAUGAGUAACGAAAAAAAGGUAUAAACCUUUUCACCUAAAACAUAAGGUUUAACUAUAAAAGUACGGCCCCUAAUUAAAUUAUAUAAGAAUAUAAAUAUAUUUAAGAUGGGAUAAUCUAUAUUAAUAAAAAUUUAUCUUAAAAUAUAUAUAUUAUUAAUAAUUAUAUUAAUUAAUUAAUAAUAUAUAUAAUUAUAUUAUAUAUUAUAUUUUUAUAUAUAAUAUAUAUAAUAUAAACUAAUAAAGAUCAGGAAAUAAUUAAUGUAUACCGUAAUGUAGACCGACUCAGGUAUGUAAGUAGAGAAUAUGAAGGUGAAUUAGAUAAUUAAAGGGAAGGAACUCGGCAAAGAUAGCUCAUAAGUUAGUCAAUAAAGAGUAAUAAGAACAAAGUUGUACAACUGUUUACUAAAAACACCGCACUUUGCAGAAACGAUAAGUUUAAGUAUAAGGUGUGAACUCUGCUCCAUGCUUAAUAUAUAAAUAAAAUUAUUUAACGAUAAUUUUAUUAAAUUUAGGUAAAUAGCAGCCUUAUUAUGAGGGUUAUAAUGUAGCGAAAUUCCUUGGCCUAUAAUUGAGGUCCCGCAUGAAUGACGUAAUGAUACAACAACUGUCUCCCCUUUAAGCUAAGUGAAAUUGAAAUCGUAGUGAAGAUGCUAUGUACCUUCAGCAAGACGGAAAGACCCUAUGCAGCUUUACUGUAAUUAGAUAGAUCGAAUUAUUGUUUAUUAUAUUCAGCAUAUUAAGUAAUCCUAUUAUUAGGUAAUCGUUUAGAUAUUAAUGAGAUACUUAUUAUAAUAUAAUGAUAAUUCUAAUCUUAUAAAUAAUUAUUAUUAUUAUUAUUAAUAAUAAUAAUAUGCUUUCAAGCAUAGUGAUAAAACAUAUUUAUAUGAUAAUCACUUUACUUAAUAGAUAUAAUUCUUAAGUAAUAUAUAAUAUAUAUUAUAUAUAUAUUAUAUAUAAUAUAAGAGACAAUCUCUAAUUGGUAGUUUUGAUGGGGCGUCAUUAUCAGCAAAAGUAUCUGAAUAAGUCCAUAAAUAAAUAUAUAAAAUUAUUGAAUAAAAAAAAUAAUAUAUAUUAUAUAUAUUAAUUAUAAAUUGAAAUAUGUUUAUAUAAAUUUAUAUUUAUUGAAUAUAUUUUAGUAAUAGAUAAAAAUAUGUACAGUAAAAUUGUAAGGAAAACAAUAAUAACUUUCUCCUCUCUCGGUGGGGGUUCACACCUAUUUUUAAUAGGUGUGAACCCCUCUUCGGGGUUCCGGUUCCCUUUCGGGUCCCGGAACUUAAAUAAAAAUGGAAAGAAUUAAAUUAAUAUAAUGGUAUAACUGUGCGAUAAUUGUAACACAAACGAGUGAAACAAGUACGUAAGUAUGGCAUAAUGAACAAAUAACACUGAUUGUAAAGGUUAUUGAUAACGAAUAAAAGUUACGCUAGGGAUAACAGGGUAAUAUAACGAAAGAGUAGAUAUUGUAAGUUAUGUUUGCCACCUCGAUGUCGACUCAACAUUUCCUCUUGGUUGUAAAAGCUAAGAAGGGUUUGACUGUUCGUCAAUUAAAAUGUUACGUGAGUUGGGUUAAAUACGAUGUGAAUCAGUAUGGUUCCUAUCUGCUGAAGGAAAUAUUAUCAAAUUAAAUCUCAUUAUUAGUACGCAAGGACCAUAAUGAAUCAACCCAUGGUGUAUCUAUUGAUAAUAAUAUAAUAUAUUUAAUAAAAAUAAUACUUUAUUAAUAUAUUAUCUAUAUUAGUUUAUAUUUUAAUUAUAUAUUAUCAUAGUAGAUAAGCUAAGUUGAUAAUAAAUAAAUAUUGAAUACAUAUUAAAUAUGAAGUUGUUUUAAUAAGAUAAUUAAUCUGAUAAUUUUAUACUAAAAUUAAUAAUUAUAGGUUUUAUAUAUUAUUUAUAAAUAUAAUAUAAUAAUUAUUAUUAUUAAUAAAAAAAAAUAUUAAUUAUAAUAUUAAUAAAAUACUAAUUUAUCAGUUAUCUAUAUAAUAUCUAAUCUAUUAUUCUAUAUACU
This 3300-nucleotide ribosomal RNA is filed under the name Saccharomyces cerevisiae (brewer's yeast). Its description in RNAcentral is "large subunit ribosomal RNA". The stretch from base 188 to 3152 matches the Rfam family "Bacterial large subunit ribosomal RNA". Lineage: Eukaryota; Fungi; Ascomycota; Saccharomycetes; Saccharomycetales; Saccharomycetaceae. The record is from RNAcentral.